This 253-nucleotide ribosomal RNA is filed under the name uncultured bacterium. RNAcentral's name for it is "partial 16S ribosomal RNA". It matches the Rfam family "Bacterial small subunit ribosomal RNA", at positions 524 to 776 of the family's 1533-position model. The record is from RNAcentral.
UACGAAGGGUGCAAACGUUGCUCGGAAUCAUUGGGCGUAAAGCGCACGUAGGCGGCUUGCCAAGUCGGACGUGAAAUCCCUCGGCUCAACUGAGGAACUGCCUUUGAAACUGUUCGGCUUGAGGCCGGGAGGGGGUAGCGGAAUUCCCAGUGUAGCGGUGAAAUGCGUAGAUAUUGGGAGGAACACCAGUGGCGAAGGCGGCUACCUGGACCGGUUCUGACACUGAGGCGCGAAAGCGUGGGUAGCAAACAGG